RNAcentral lists this ribosomal RNA (439 nucleotides) under uncultured bacterium. RNAcentral describes it as "bacterial SSU rRNA". It matches the Rfam family "Bacterial small subunit ribosomal RNA", at positions 954 to 1392 of the family's 1533-position model. The record is from RNAcentral.
GCAAAACGCGAAGAACCUUACCCACCCUUUGACAUGUACGGAAUCCUUUAGAGAUAGAGGAGUGCUCGAAAGAGAGCCGUAACACAGGUGCUGCAUGGCUGUCGUCAGCUCGUGUCGUGAGAUGUUGGGUUAAGUCCCGCAACGAGCGCAACCCUUGCCAUUAGUUGCUACAUUUAGUUGAGCACUCUAAUGGGACUGCCGGUGACGAACCGGAGGAAGGUGGGGAUGACGUCAAGUCCUCAUGGCCCUUAUAGGUGGGGCUACACACGUCAUACAAUGGCUGGUACAAAGGGUUGCCAACCCGCGAGGGGGAGCUAAUCCCAUAAAGCCAGUCGUAGUCCGGAUCGCAGUCUGCAACUCGACUGCGUGAAGUCGGAAUCGCUAGUAAUCGUGGAUCAGAAUGUCACGGUGAAUACGUUCCCGGGUCUUGUACACACCG